Molecule: ribosomal RNA, 322 nt
Filed under: uncultured eukaryote
Lineage: Eukaryota
Description: partial 18S ribosomal RNA
Rfam family: Eukaryotic small subunit ribosomal RNA
Source: RNAcentral
CCCUUAGAUGUUCUGGGCCGCACGCGUGCUACACUGAGUGGAUCAGCGGGUCAGGUUGCGCGAAAGUGUUUCCUAAUCUUGAAAUCCGCUCGUGAUGGGGAUUGACGGUUGCAAUUUUCCGUCAUGAACGAGGAAUACCUUGUAAGCGCGGGUCAUCAUCCCGCGCUGAAUACGUCCCUGCCCUUUGUACACACCGCCCGUCGCUCCUACCGAUUGAGUGGUCCGGUGAGGCUUUGGGAUCUGAGCAAAGAGAGCGUUUCGCUCGUUUUGCCCGGAAAACUCAGUCGAACCUUAUCAUUUAGAGGUAGGAGAAGUCGUAACA